CAAUACGAGUUAUGUAGUAUUAUCGAGACGUAAAUACAUAGCGUAUCGAAGGUAGACGCGGAGAACUGAAACAUCUUAGGACCCGCAGGAAGAGAAAGAAAAAGCGAUUCCCUGAGUAGCGGCGAGCGAAACGGGAAUAGCCCAAACCAACGAGCUUGCUUGUUGGGGUUGUAGGACACUCUAUACGGAGUUACAAAGGAAUAGAUUAGACGAA
Molecule: ribosomal RNA, 214 nt
Filed under: Staphylococcus cohnii
Lineage: Bacteria; Bacillati; Bacillota; Bacilli; Caryophanales; Staphylococcaceae
Description: partial 23S ribosomal RNA
Rfam family: Bacterial large subunit ribosomal RNA
Source: RNAcentral